GCCGCUGUGGUGAAAUUGGUAGACACAAGGGAUUCAAAAUCCCUCGCCUUUUUGGCAUGUCGGUUCGAGUCCGACCAGCGGUACCA
RNAcentral lists this transfer RNA (86 nucleotides) under Aliarcobacter skirrowii. RNAcentral describes it as "Arcobacter skirrowii tRNA-Leu". It matches the Rfam family "tRNA". Rfam says of the family: Transfer RNA (tRNA) molecules are approximately 80 nucleotides in length. Their secondary structure includes four short double-helical elements and three loops (D, anti-codon, and T loops). RNAcentral also lists the same sequence under 1 other name. Lineage: Bacteria; Pseudomonadati; Campylobacterota; Epsilonproteobacteria; Campylobacterales; Arcobacteraceae. The record is from RNAcentral.